UGGGGAAUAUUCCGCAAUGGACGAAAGUCUGACGGAGCAACGCCGCGUGGAGGAUGAAGGGUCUAUGACUUGUAAACUCCUGUAAAGAAGGAAAAAAUUCCCAUUUGAUGGGAGAUGAUGGUACUUCUGGAGUAAGCCCCGGCUAACUACGUGCCAGCAGCCGCGGUAAUACGUAGGGGGCAAGCGUUGUCCGGAUUUACUGGGUGUAAAGGGUGCUCAGGCGGAUUUGCAAGUCAGAGGUGAAAUCUUACAGCUUAACUGUGAAACUGCCUUUGAUACUGCAAGCCUAGAGUAUGGAAGAGAGUGAUGGAAUAUCUGGUGUAGCAGUGAAAUGCGUAGAUAUCAGAUAGAACACCAAUGGCGAAGGCAGUCACUUGGUCCAUUACUGACGCUAAAGCACGAAAGCGUGGGUAGCAAACA
RNAcentral lists this ribosomal RNA (420 nucleotides) under uncultured bacterium. RNAcentral describes it as "bacterial SSU rRNA". It matches the Rfam family "Bacterial small subunit ribosomal RNA", at positions 355 to 774 of the family's 1533-position model. The record is from RNAcentral.